UUAACUCAAAGUAUGCAGUUGGAACAGCGCCCCUAGCGGCAAACGUAGGCAAACGUUCCAACUGCAUACAAAUUUGAGUUA
RNAcentral lists this microRNA precursor (81 nucleotides) under Bombyx mori (domestic silkworm). Its description in RNAcentral is "mir-2807 microRNA precursor family". It matches the Rfam family "mir-2807 microRNA precursor family". Lineage: Eukaryota; Metazoa; Arthropoda; Insecta; Lepidoptera; Bombycidae. The record is from Rfam by way of RNAcentral.